GACGAACCGUGCGAACGUUAUUCGGAAUCAUUGGGCUUAAAGGGCGCGUAGGCGGCGGUGUAAGUUGGAAGUGAAAUCCCAUCGGCUCAACCGUGGAAUUGCUCCCAGUACUGCAUCGCUCGAGGGGGAUAGGGGUUGGCGGAACUACCGGUGGAGCGGUGAAAUGUGUUGAUAUCGGGAGGAACAUCAGUGGCGAAGGCGGCUAUCUGGACCAACACUGACACUGAGGCACGAAAGCGUGGGUAGCAAACAGG
RNAcentral lists this ribosomal RNA (254 nucleotides) under uncultured bacterium. RNAcentral describes it as "partial 16S ribosomal RNA". It matches the Rfam family "Bacterial small subunit ribosomal RNA", at positions 524 to 776 of the family's 1533-position model. The record is from RNAcentral.